RNAcentral lists this transfer RNA (77 nucleotides) under Pseudomonadota bacterium. Its description in RNAcentral is "tRNA-Trp". It matches the Rfam family "tRNA". Rfam says of the family: Transfer RNA (tRNA) molecules are approximately 80 nucleotides in length. The record is from RNAcentral. Lineage: Bacteria; Pseudomonadati; Pseudomonadota. RNAcentral also lists the same sequence under 1 other name.
AGGGGCGUAGCUCGAACGGCUAGAGCGCUGGUCUCCAAAACCAGAGGUUGUGGGUUCGAAUCCCGCCGCCCCUGCCA